Molecule: ribosomal RNA, 439 nt
Filed under: uncultured bacterium
Lineage: Bacteria
Description: partial 16S ribosomal RNA
Rfam family: Bacterial small subunit ribosomal RNA
Source: RNAcentral
CUACGGGAUGCUGCAGUGAGGAAUAUUGCACAAUGGGGGGAACCCUGGUGCAGCAACGCCGCGUGGAGGAUGACGCAUUUCGGUGUGUAAACUCCUUUUAUAUGUCAAGAAAAUUACGGUAGCAUAUGAAUAAGCACCGGCUAACUCCGUGCCAGCAGCCGCGGUAAUACGGAGGGUGCAAGCGUUACUCGGAAUCACUGGGCGUAAAGGACGCGUAGGCGGGUUGGAAAGUCAGGUGUGAAAUCCUACAGCUUAACUGUAGAACUGCACUUGAAACUUCUAAUCUAGAGUAUGGGAGGGGGAGAUGGAAUUAGUGGUGUAGGGGUAAAAUCCGUAGAUAUCACUAGGAAUACCUAAAGCGAAGGCGAUCUCCUGGAACAUUACUGACGCUAAGGCGUGAAAGCGUGGGGAGCAAACAGGAUUAGAUACCCGUGUAGUC